GUGUGGUAACAAGCUCCCUGUCAGUCAAACUCUCCUUAGUUCACGCCGGUAUUCUGUUCAUUCUGGUACAUUUCUGUAGCACUUUAAUCAGCCACAAUUGGGAUUUGAAUCUCCUUCCUGGGCUGUGUUUUGGAUAUUUUCUCAGUAUGUGUUUUACUGUGAAGAAACAGCAGAGGUUCGGUUUUGCUUUCUUGAUUAGGACAUGGAGUUUGCACGUUCUCCCCGUGUUUGCGUGGGUUCUCUCCGGGUUCUCUGGCUUCCUCCCACAGUCCAAAGACGUGCAUUAGGUUGAUUGGACUCUCUCCAUUGCCCGUAGGUGUGAGUGUGUGUGUGAAUGGUUGUCUGUCUAUGUGUUGCCCUGCGAUGGACUGGCGACCCGUCCAGGGUGUACCCUGCCUCUCGCCCAUAGUCAGCUGGGUUAGGCUCCAGCACCCCCGUGACCCCGCAUUAGGGAAUAAGCGGUUUAGAAAAUGGAUGGAUGGAUGGAUGGAUGAUUAGGACAUUUAUACAGGUUGUGACCAUAAUUAAUAAAAAAAUCAUUACAGUUCGUCUAUUUAUAUUAAAUAAAGGUUAAAUAGAUUGUAUAAUCAAUCUUCAAUCAAUCAAUCGUCUAUAGUCAAUCAAUCAAUAAUCAAUCAUUCUUCUAUUAUUAUUUUUCUUCUUUGUCUUCUUCUUCUAUUAUUUUUCUUUCUUUCUUUCUUUCUUUCUUCUUCUUCUUCUUCUUCUUCUUCUUCUUCUUCUUCUUCUUCUUCUUCUUCUUCUUCUUCUUCUUCUUCUUCUUCUUCUUCUUCUUCUUCUUCUUCUUCUAUUAUUAUUAUUUUUCGGCUCCCCAGAUUACAGGGUGUACCUAAAUGCCUCCAGGACAAAUCGUUUGGGUGACACGAAUGGAGUUUUGAAAAAAGUUAUUGGUUCUUUUCAGUUGAGUGGACGCGGUGGAAAAGAAGCCGCCAAGGAGUAAAUACGACUUUUAAUUGGGAGGCUUAUGCAGGUGCGCUCGCCUCUGGACGUGUAGCACCUGCGUCGCAGUCAGGGAGUCGCCUUCAGGUGUUAAGGCCUUCAUACUGUCCUCGUGUGCAGCUGUUGAUGAAGGAGCAUCCUCUGAAUGAUGUGACGGCGCCGCAUCCAGCUGGGUGCAGUAGCUUUCGUGGAUGCAGGCUUGUCAUCUGGACACUGAGGAUCCGGAGUCUUUCCAAGGGGACGGCUGUAAACAUGAUAAAGAACUCUGCACUGUCAGCUCCUACAGAACGAGACAAAGUGCGGAGGGACUCUCGCUUUUCAAUUUCCACCGGCCGUCUCUCACCUCCGCUGCACUCAAUUCAGAGGAAAACAACACCCGCCAAUUUGAUAAUAGACUCACGUGCAGACAAAGCCGCCGAUGUCCAACCUCCAGGUCGUGGAACCAGUGGGGCGCAUUGUGAGCACGCAGCUUCCACAGACACGCCCUCCUCCAACUUUGAGCCCCCGGCAGAUGCUCUGGUGCUGUCGAACAGGCAUUAGUGGCAAUAAUAUAUGAAUAAGGAAUUCUCCACAGAUUGUUGCACGCAGCUGCAGCUUCAUACAGAUUGUGUUUAUGUUAAUUUUCUGUACAUACCACACAUAUAUAAUGGGCUGCUUACUGUCCUCAAGAGAUACUGUACCAGCGGCCAAAGGCACAUUGUUGUUGUGUGUUAGCAAGCGCAGCUGAUAAGUCUGUGCUUUUAUAAUGCAUGGCUGGUUGCCAGUGGCUCUCCAUAUUACUGUUUAAAGCAAUACAGUAGAUUUGAUGAAAUAUGCUUCAUUUCUUUCGCGCCUAUAGGCUGCAAACCUCUCUUGUGCGUCUUCAAUAAGAAUGUGCAAAGUCAUAUUUGUGCAGUGACGGUUGGUGAGUGGGGCUGAAGUAACAGUUAACUGCAUGGCACGUGUGUGACACCAGGAGUCGGAGUAAUGAACACAAUAACGCGGGUGAAACAGUCAGCACAUGAAGCGGAUUAGCGAGCUCGCUUAACAGAUUCUGCAGGAUUUUAUGGAUCAUAAAAUGUGAGUGUUCUACAAUUAUCUGAUUAGCACGAGAUGGGAAGCAGUAGAUUAUGUGGCACACAUGUGGCUGGAAAGGCUCAGUCCAGGCCUGUGGGACAGUAGGUGUAGUUGUAUCGUAUGAAGGGAAGGGUAAUAACAAUAAUAAAACAAUCAUGUUUAUGUUCCAUGACUCUAAUCCAACAGCCAAAGGUGACGCCAGUAAGAAGAGAAAUAAAUAUAAGCAGCAAGUGAAAAGCAAAUGCAGGUGUGGAGGCUAUGGACGUUUAUUUUUAGGAAACAAUGGAGUAGAGCCUCCGCUGUGGCAUUUCACGCUGUAAUGUGAUGAGAUUUUAAUAAGCCCGCAGCAGCCUUUUUUAAAACUAUUGGUCAGAACAAGAAAAUGGGUCAGCGUCUUGUUUCCGAGUGCUCCCAUCCACGGCAGCGGGGUUUUAAUUAGACCGGGUGUCCCCAGGGUGAAGCAACAUUCGCUCCUUUUGGGAUCCUCCAAUGAAGAAUAAUUACUGACCAAAAGUAUCCCGUCAACUUUGGUUAUCGGAGGUUCUGUCUCCCGUGACACAGGCAACUUUUUCAGUAUGGAGAGUGAGCAGUGGCCUCCAUUAACAAACAGAGCGUUACAGCAGAAGUGUGGUUGGAUCAGCCUUGUGGUGGUGGUGCUGCAUCCAGUCAGGCUGACAUGGAACCAUGAAGGCUAAGGUGAGACGAGGACACUUUUAGAGGCAAAACUUGAAACCCUAAAACAGUCGUCCUUAAAUAGACAGAAAGGCCUACACGCUGGCAGACGACCAGAGCGCUGUGACUAAUCAGGCCUGAAGGAAGACGUUAAAAACACAGCGGAGCGGGAGGGGAGGGGAGGCGGCGGUCGCGCCGUUCUCCAGGAAAGGUGACGAGGCGCUUCCUUUCAGGAGGAUCCAAGCUUUUCACCGCGAGCUCUUCCCUCGCAUCAGAAUAAUAACCUGGAUGCAUUUUUCACCGGGUCCGUGCUGCCCUGCAAAAAAAGACGCGUUCAAACAUAAACUAUGUGAAAAGACAACGACGGGGGCACGGGGAGAAGGGGAUGGAGUAGGAAAGAAGGAGAAGCGGGGAGAUGAAGUGAGGAAGAGGAGGAGGAGGAGGAUCCUCCAGCACCUUGGACGCCGCUGCCGCGGGAUUUCAGCAGCACAAGGCCGGAACAAGCUUUAUCCCCAGAGAGAAAAGCCAAAAGCUCUUCUCAACAUGCUCUGAUCUCUAGCUCUCGCUCUUACAUACACACUUAUCUCUUAUCCAUGUAUGUCUCUCUCUCACUCUCGCUCCUACGCACACACACACACACACCAUCGCUAACAGCUGUCUCUCCCCUGGCUGCCACCCUCCUCCACCCUCCACACUUUGUUUCUUAUCAUUUCUCCGCGUGACUGCUCUCUUUGUGGACUGACAUCCCAAAAUAGUUGACAGUAGCUCAAGUGUGUGUGUCCUAUGGCCGGGCGAG
This is a long non-coding RNA of Betta splendens (Siamese fighting fish), 3481 nucleotides long. RefSeq lists it as uncharacterized. The record is from RefSeq and is a predicted model, not a curated record. Lineage: Eukaryota; Metazoa; Chordata; Actinopteri; Anabantiformes; Osphronemidae. The transcript is spliced from 4 exons.